UUAAGUUCAGCGGGUAUCCCUACCUGAUCCGAGGUCAAAAGUUAAAAAGGCUUGUGGGUGCAAGUAUUUGAUAGGAAUCGCGACUUGUGCUGCGCUUCACUACCAAAACACUGGCUGCCAAUUGUUUUAAGGCGAGUCCAAACACAAGGGAGAGGACAAACACCCAACACCAAGCAGAGCUUGAGGGUACAAAUGACGCU
This 200-nucleotide unclassified non-coding RNA is filed under the name Pleosporales sp. Its description in RNAcentral is "partial internal transcribed spacer 2". The record is from RNAcentral. Lineage: Eukaryota; Fungi; Ascomycota; Dothideomycetes; Pleosporales.